GGAGUUGUGCAAUUCACCUUCAUCUUCUCUGUUAAUGUCUUCGCCUUCCAUCUUCACCUUUGCGCUGUGUUUUGAGCUUUUCUUCAUCUUUUCCUCACUCGUUUCUAUUUUUAUUCAAUUUUGGUUUUGGGCUAAUCUCUAACUGGGGUUUUACCUAGUGAGAGCUUCUGGUUUUGAGAUUGGAUUUGCUUAUGGCUUUGGAAGAUUGAUGCAGAGGCAUCCCACUGGAAUGCAAGGAAGCGACAGUGCAGUAUGAGCAAUCGCUCUUGCUUAUUGGUCGGAUUUUCACGGAAAAAAAGUUGAAUCUCAAGAUGGUACAGGAUUUGCCAAAGGAAGCAAUGAUGUUCAAGAACAUUAUUACUAUGGGAGGGCAAAUUGGUGAGAUUGAGCACCUGUGAAGUUGCUCGUGAGAAUCUGCGCCCCUGGGAGCUUAGUGUGAUUGGUAACCCUUAGUAGCAAGGGUUAAAGGACCAAGCAGUGAUCAGGGCAAGGGAAGAGAGUCUGGACCGGCUUGAGUUAUUAAAAUCGUGUAAACUCUGAGUUAGUGUAAUAAACUGGAAAACUUGUGUAUAUGAGUUGCCAUAGGGUUGUAUGCAUGAAUUAAGUAGUUAUUUUAUGGAAUCUUAGCCCAAUUAUAUGUGUUUGUGAUGAAACGAAUUAGGAGCUAUGAUUUGAAUAUGUUUAUGUUGAAUUUGUUGUUGACAUUGGUGAAUCUUAAGCCUAAGCGAGAAAUUACGAUGAAAUAAGUAAUUUGGGGCUAAGAUUGUAAUAUACAUGUGUUAUGAAUGUGAAUGUAUAUGUUUAUGUUGGGAAAAAGGCCAA
Molecule: long non-coding RNA, 822 nt
Organism: Prosopis cineraria
Lineage: Eukaryota; Viridiplantae; Streptophyta; Magnoliopsida; Fabales; Fabaceae
Exons: 4
Source: RefSeq, a predicted model, not a curated record